This is a long non-coding RNA of Sinocyclocheilus anshuiensis, 1034 nucleotides long. RefSeq lists it as uncharacterized. Lineage: Eukaryota; Metazoa; Chordata; Actinopteri; Cypriniformes; Cyprinidae. The transcript has 2 exons. The record is from RefSeq and is a predicted model, not a curated record.
AGUCUCUGGAAAUGCAGAUUCCACCGUCAAGAUCUGGGACAUCAAGACCGGCCAGUGCCUACAAACACUGCAAGGUCCCCACAAGCACCAGAGUGCAGUAACAUGCCUGCAGUUCAACAAGAAUUUUGUCAUCACCAGCUCCGAUGACGGUACGGUGAAGUUGUGGGACCUUCGGACGGGCGAGUUUAUCCGCAACCUGGUCACACUGGAGAGCGGAGGCAGCGGCGGCGUGGUCUGGCGCAUCCGCGCCUCCAAUACCAAACUCGUUUGUGCGGUGGGCAGCCGUAACGGCACAGAGGAAACCAAGCUCCUGGUGCUGGACUUCGACGUGGACAUGAAGUGAAGGGGGUGAACUUAAAGGGGACAUGUUUGGAAAACGGGGAGGGUGGGGGAGAGCAACCUGCCCCGGGUCUCUCCAUGUCAGGACCGAUCGCUCACUUCCCCGAUAUGUUGCCGCCAACAUUUCUCUCCAUCUUGCCACGGUCCACGACUGCCGCCACAGUUCCGUUCACCUUCCGAAGGGUGGGGGGCAGACGCUCAUGCACCACAGCAUUCUGGGACGAAAACUGACAAGAAGGACUUGGGAAAACAGGAUAGUCCCUUUUCCUACCACUCAAGGUGACCUUGCACAGAGACUUGUUCGCUCAAGCCUGACUGAAAUUCACACCCAUAUGUACAAACAUUAUUUUUUUUGAUCAAAACAGUCAACACUGUAUACAUGAGACCCUAACGCAUCAACACGGACACGGAGUGAUAAAUAGUGUAUACAAAUUAAAUUUUAAAGGAGAAAGAUGAGAAUUUGAAGAGCCUUGUAUUGCGAGAGUGAUUCGAGCUUGAGAGACAAAGGAAGCCAAUUUUGUCAGUCCUCAUCAACCUCAGCACACGCCAAAUAUCCCUUUCUUCCUCACGUGUUGAAUUUCUUUUGUAUCCGUUUUUUUUUCAGUUCCUUUUUUUUUUCCCUUUGUUCCCCACGACUUGUCUUUUGGUUUUCGCGUCGAACAGCUGUGAAUGAAAGUUUUGUGCUUUCUUUUCAA